This 75-nucleotide transfer RNA is filed under the name Collinsella tanakaei. Its description in RNAcentral is "tRNA-Glu". It matches the Rfam family "tRNA". From Rfam's summary of the family: Transfer RNA (tRNA) molecules are approximately 80 nucleotides in length. Lineage: Bacteria; Bacillati; Actinomycetota; Coriobacteriia; Coriobacteriales; Coriobacteriaceae. The record is from RNAcentral. RNAcentral also lists the same sequence under 1 other name.
GUCCCCAUCGUCUAGCGGUUAGGACAUCGCCCUUUCAAGGCGGCGACACGGGUUCGAGUCCCGUUGGGGGCACCA